GAAGCUUUCUUUUGUCAUGUUCCUGGUAUCAAAGUGGUUAUCCCUCGAAGUCCACAGCAAGCAAAAGGAUUAUUAUUGUCAUGCAUACGGGAUCCAAACCCUGUUGUCUUUUUUGAACCAAAAUGGCUUUAUCGCUUGGCAGUAGAAGAGGUCCCUGAGCAUGAUUAUAUGUUGCCAUUGUCAGAGGCAGAGGUGAUCCGAGAAGGCAGUGACAUAACUCUUGUUGGUUGGGGAGCACAACUGUCUAUCAUGGAGCAGGCUUGUACUGAUGCCGAGAAGGAUGGAAUUUCUUGUGAACUGAUUGACCUCAAAACUUUAAUACCCUGGGA
This 329-nucleotide unclassified non-coding RNA is filed under the name Hevea brasiliensis (rubber tree). The record is from RNAcentral. Lineage: Eukaryota; Viridiplantae; Streptophyta; Magnoliopsida; Malpighiales; Euphorbiaceae.